Callithrix jacchus (white-tufted-ear marmoset) is the source of this 103-nucleotide small nuclear RNA. NCBI's taxonomy places the organism in Eukaryota, Metazoa, Chordata, Mammalia, Primates, Cebidae. The record is from Ensembl.
GUGCUCACUUCGGCAGCACAUAUGCUAAAAUUGGAACGAUACAGAGAAGAUUAGCAUCCUGCUCAAGGAUGACAUGCAAAUUCGUGAAGUGUUAUAUUUUUUG